GACGAACGCUGGCGGCGUGCUUAACACAUGCAAGUCGAACGGAAAGGCCCUGCUUUUGUGGGGUGCUCGAGUGGCGAACGGGUGAGUAACACGUGAGUAACCUGCCCUUGACUUUGGGAUAACUUCAGGAAACUGGGGCUAAUACCGGAUAGGAGCUCCUGCUGCAUGGUGGGGGUUGGAAAGUUUCGGCGGCUGGGGAUGGACUCGCGGCUUAUCAGCUUGUUGGUGGGGUAGUGGCUUACCAAGGCUUUGACGGGUAGCCGGCCUGAGAGGGUGACCGGCCACAUUGGGACUGAGAUACGGCCCAGACUCCUACGGGAGGCAGCAGUGGGGAAUAUUGCACAAUGGGCGGAAGCCUGAUGCAGCAACGCCGCGUGCGGGAUGACGGCCUUCGGGUUGUAAACCGCUUUCGCCUGUGACGAAGCGUGAGUGACGGUAAUGGGUAAAGAAGCACCGGCUAACUACGUGCCAGCAGCCGCGGUGAUACGUAGGGUGCGAGCGUUGUCCGGAUUUAUUGGGCGUAAAGGGCUCGUAGGUGGUUGAUCGCGUCGGAAGUGUAAUCUUGGGGCUUAACCCUGAGCGUGCUUUCGAUACGGGUUGACUUGAGGAAGGUAGGGGAGAAUGGAAUUCCUGGUGGAGCGGUGGAAUGCGCAGAUAUCAGGAGGAACACCAGUGGCGAAGGCGGUUCUCUGGGCCUUUCCUGACGCUGAGGAGCGAAAGCGUGGGGAGCGAACAGGCUUAGAUACCCUGGUAGUCCACGCUGUAAACGGU
This 771-nucleotide ribosomal RNA is filed under the name uncultured organism. RNAcentral describes it as "SSU rRNA". It matches the Rfam family "Bacterial small subunit ribosomal RNA", at positions 28 to 810 of the family's 1533-position model. The record is from RNAcentral.